RNAcentral lists this ribosomal RNA (498 nucleotides) under uncultured bacterium. RNAcentral's name for it is "partial 16S ribosomal RNA". It matches the Rfam family "Bacterial small subunit ribosomal RNA", at positions 28 to 523 of the family's 1533-position model. The record is from RNAcentral.
GACGAACGCUGGCGGCGUGCUUAACACAUGCAAGUCGGACGGUUUGCGCUGGAAGGUUCGCUGGAAGGCGCAGAUAGUGGCGGACGGGUGAGUAACGCGUGAGGACAUGUCUGCAGGAGGGGGAUAACGUUUGGAAACGGACGCCAAGACCCCGUAUGCCGGAGGGUGAAAGUGGUGAAAGCCAGCCUGUGGAGUGACUCGCGUCCUAUCAGCUAGUUGGCGGGGUGAAGGCCCACCAAGGCGAUGACGGGUAGCCGACCUGAGAGGAUGACCAGCCACACUGGAACUGAGACACGGUCCAGACUCCUACGGGAGGCAGCAGUGGGGAAUAUUGCACAAUGGGCGCAAGCCUGAUGCAGCCAUGCCGCGUGUAUGAAGAAGGCCUUCGGGUUGUAAAGUACUUUCAGCGGGGAGGAAGGGAGUAAAGUUAAUACCUUUGCUCAUUGACGUUACCCGCAGAAGAAGCACCGGCUAACUCCGUGCCAGCAGCCGCCGUAA